UAGCAGUUUCUUAAAUGCCUCUGUACUGUU
This 30-nucleotide non-coding RNA is filed under the name Rattus norvegicus (Norway rat). Lineage: Eukaryota; Metazoa; Chordata; Mammalia; Rodentia; Muridae. The record is from RNAcentral.